CCACUGAGUGUGAUGAAUUAAAAUAAUAAAUAAAAAAAUAAAAAAAGUUCACCCAGGGCGAGGCUCGGCCAUUGCACUCCGGGUUGUGCUGACCCCUGCGAAUUCCCCAAAUGUGGGAAUCUUGACUGCAUAAUUUAUGGUAGUGGGGGACUGCGUUCGCGCUCUCCCCUG
Molecule: non-coding RNA, 171 nt
Organism: Pimephales promelas (fathead minnow)
Lineage: Eukaryota; Metazoa; Chordata; Actinopteri; Cypriniformes; Leuciscidae
Source: RefSeq, a predicted model, not a curated record